UACGUAGGUGGCAAGCGUUACCCGGAAUUAUUGGGGCGUAAAGAGCGCGCAGGUGGUUGAUUAAGUCUGAUGUGAAAGUCCACGGCUUAACCGUGGAGGGUCAUUGGAAACUGGUCGACUUGAGUGCAGAAGAGGGAAGUGGAAUUCCAAUGUGUAGCGGUGAAAUGCGUAGAGAUAUGGAGGAACACCAGUGGCGAAGGCGGCUUCCUGGUCUGUAACUGACACUGAGGCGCGAAAGCGUGGGGAGCAAACAGGAUUAGAUACCCGCGUA
RNAcentral lists this ribosomal RNA (271 nucleotides) under uncultured prokaryote. Its description in RNAcentral is "partial 16S ribosomal RNA". It matches the Rfam family "Bacterial small subunit ribosomal RNA", at positions 524 to 792 of the family's 1533-position model. The record is from RNAcentral.